ACCCGCUGAAUUUAAGCAUAUAAGUAAGUGGAAGCAAGAAACACACCAGGACUCCCGUAGUAGUGGCGAAUGCACAGGGAUAAACUCAGCAUGAAAAUUCGGAUAUCUGGUCCUGAGUUGUAGUCUUGCAAUGCACUACCAGAGGGGAUGCAGCUACAGGCCCUUGGAAAAGGAGAGUCGUUGAGGGUGGAAACCUGUGUAUUGGCUGCAACACCCCUACGAUCGGCGUGCCCUUUUUUUUGAGUCGUGUACCUUGGCACUGUUGCGUGAAGCGGCGGUAAUGUUUAUCCAAAGCUGAAGACACACUUGGGGCCAAUAGAAAACAAGUACCUUGAGGGAAGGGUGAAACAUAACUUUGUAAAGAGAGAUAAAUAUGCUUGAACUUGCUGAUGUUGAUGUGAAUGGUGACAGUGUCAUGUGGCAAGAUUUAUACGUACUAAUGUGUCUGUCUGAUGUUUGUGUAUGUGUCAAGUAACAGGAUUUGAGCAGGAUGCAUGUAGUGUAUCUCGCACUACCUAUCAAUUCCAGCAUGCUGCUCAGGAUCAGCGGCACAGACCUGGUUGACUAUCUCUGGGUAGAAGAAGAUCUGUGUGCUGCUAGUGCAGGUGCACAGUGGUGACCACAAUGACUCAGUUGGCCCGUCUUGAAACACGGAUCAAGGAGUCUAACAUACAUACAAGCAUAUGGGCAAGGAACCUGAGUGCACAAUGAAAGUAGUGGCUGGGACUCAUUCCACCAGCAACCGACCAUUUGCCAAAGGAAUGCCUGAGUAUGAGCAGGUGUAUUAGGACCCGAAAGAUGGUGAACUAUGUCUGUGAAUUGCAAAAUCCAUGGGGGGAACUAUGAUGGAGGCCUGUAGCGGUACUAACGUGCAAGUUGUUCGUCAUACAUGGGCAUAAGGGGCGAAAGACUAAUCGAACCAUCUAGUAGCUGGUUCCGGCUGAAGUUCCCCUCAGGAUAGAUGGGCAUGGAACGUUUUACUAAGUAAAGCAAAUGGUUCGAGGCAUCGGGGCCUGUCGCCCUUGACCUAUCCUCAAACUCUAAAGAGGUAAGUUGCAGUAGUUACUCGUGUGAGCGACUGGGACAAAUGGCAGUCCCAAGUGGCCCAUUCUUGGUAAGCAGAACUGGCGAUGAGACAUGAACCUAAUGUUAGACUAAGGUGCUCCAUUGCUCGCUCAUCAGAUACCAUAAAGGGUGUUGGUUCAUCUUGACAGCAGGGCGGUGGUCAUGGAAGUUGAAAUCCGCUAAGGAGUGUGUAAUAACUCACCUGCCGAAUGGACUAGCCCCAAAAAUGGAUGGCGCUCAAGUUGGCAACUGAUGUUUGGCCAAUGCUGCUGCUUGUGUGCACCACUGAGUAGGAGGGUAUGCGGUCUAGUGGAGAAGCUUUCGGGUGCAACCCUGAGUGAAGCAGAUCCAGGUGCAGAUCUUGGUGGUAGUAGC
Molecule: ribosomal RNA, 1440 nt
Filed under: Protoperidinium sp.
Lineage: Eukaryota; Dinophyceae; Peridiniales; Protoperidiniaceae
Description: partial large subunit ribosomal RNA
Rfam family: Eukaryotic large subunit ribosomal RNA
Source: RNAcentral